AUUGAACGCUGGCGGCAGGCCUAACACAUGCAAGUCGAGCGGUAACAGAACUAGCUUGCUAGUUGCUGACGAGCGGCGGACGGGUGCGUAACACGUAGGAAUCUGCCCGGUAGUGGGGAUAGCCCGGAGAAAUCCGGAUUAAUACCGCAUACGCACUCUCUUUUAUAAGAGGGUGGAAAGAUGGCCUCUUCAAGAAAGCUGUCGCUAUCGGAUGAGCCCUGCGUCGGAUUAGCUAGUUGGUAGGGUAAAGGCCUACCAAGGCAACGAUCCGUAGCUGGUCUGAGAGGAUGAUCAGCCACACUGGGACUGAGACACGGCCCAGACUCCUAC
Molecule: ribosomal RNA, 330 nt
Filed under: uncultured bacterium
Lineage: Bacteria
Description: bacterial SSU rRNA
Rfam family: Bacterial small subunit ribosomal RNA
Source: RNAcentral